RNAcentral lists this ribosomal RNA (305 nucleotides) under uncultured bacterium. Its description in RNAcentral is "bacterial SSU rRNA". It matches the Rfam family "Bacterial small subunit ribosomal RNA", at positions 338 to 658 of the family's 1533-position model. The record is from RNAcentral.
CCUACGGGGCGCAGCAGUGAGGAAUAUUGGUCAAUGGGCGGGAGCCUGAACCAGCCAAGCCGCGUGAGGGAAGACGGUUUUCGGAUUGUAAACCUCUGUCUUUAGGGACGAAACAAAUGACGGUACCUAAAGAGGAAGCCACGGCUAACUACGUGCCAGCAGCCGCGGUAAUACGUAGGUGGCAAGCGUUGUCCGGAAUUACUGGGUGUAAAGGGAGCGUAGGCGGGAAUGCAAGUUGAAUGUUUAAACUAUGGGCUCAACCCAUAGUCGCGUUCAAAACUGCAUUUCUUGAGUGGAGUAGAGGG